GGGUGACUCCUUUCCUUCUCUCCAGCGGCGCGGGGCUGAGCCUGCCGCCCGCGCAGAGGCUGAACUGGCAGCGCCAAACCCCCCGCAGGGGCCGCGGGCCAGACCCGCAGGACAGGGGCCGCCUCCUUCUGAGUUCAGCAAACCUACGAAGCCGCACUUGCCACCGCGAGAGGAUGCAGACACCCAGAGCCGUGAACCUGAUCCGCGCAGCCCGGCCGCACAGCACCCGGAACGGGGUCCGCGUGGUCAGCGUGUCCCGCUCUGCACCCAGCCCCAUGUCGGCACCGCCUGCUUCUGCUCUCACAACAACCUGGAAAGGGUGCCCUCCACACUUCAUCCCUGCCACGCUCUGCUCAGGAGAUCCACGUGAAGACUCACCCCUUGAGAGAACACCGGGCGCUGGGAGGCUCUCAGGUGCCCAGCAGCCUUUGCAGUGAAUUCAGUCGUACAGAAGAGCACAGCCAGUGUUGGCUUUGCACGAUGCCGGGCUCACGGCGCUUGCACAUAUACCCGCGGGCAGGUGCAUCGGAGAGCACGGACCACACAGAGCCCCGACGGCCCUACGGACGGAUGUGCCAAACCCUUCUCUGUCACUUUGCGGAUCUGUGGAUGCUUUCACGCCGGAAUGGGAUCACUGGCAAUUUUUGGUCCACCCUUUGCCCUUCUCUGUUUGUUUUUUC
This is a long non-coding RNA of Hyaena hyaena (striped hyena), 680 nucleotides long. RefSeq lists it as uncharacterized. Lineage: Eukaryota; Metazoa; Chordata; Mammalia; Carnivora; Hyaenidae. The record is from RefSeq and is a predicted model, not a curated record. The transcript has 3 exons.